UGUUACUCCUCCCUCCCAUCCUUCCCUCUCAUAUUCCCUCUCAAUCCCAUCUCUACUCUCAUUCUCAAUUCUGUUUUUCCUCUUUUUCCUCUAUACUCUAGCACAAAAAAUGAAAACUAAAAACUAAAAAUGAAAUGGUUAUCAAACGUGCCCUUUACUUUUCACUUUUAGCAAUCAAAUGAGAUGACCAUAUCUUUGCUUUUCAGUGUCUUGCAAUGUGAUUAUAUAUAACAGUAUCUUAUACAGCCUUUUACUCCCUUUUUCUUAGUGUUUUUCUGAUGAUUCUUUUGUGAUUACCUCUCCCUCUCUCUCUCUCUCUCUCUCUCCCUCUCUCUCUCUUUCAUGAUCAUCGGCUGAGUGCCACUGAUGAGUUGCCUUGAAGAUGCUUUAUGUCGAAUCUGAUUCUCCUGCUUGACAUGCUACUGCCCUUUUCUUCCUUUGUCUCUUCCUUCUUUUUUAACCUUUCAAUUUGUUAAUCAGAAAGCCAGAGGUUUUCUUGGUUAGACAUAGCAUGGCCCAGGAUGGAUUUGGGAUGAUAUGGUUGGAUUUGCUGGCAAUUCUCUGAAUGUAGACAACUGAUUCUUUUAUGGAGACGGCUUGCUUUGAGAGUUAAAAAUGGG
RNAcentral lists this long non-coding RNA (620 nucleotides) under Prunus dulcis (almond). Its description in RNAcentral is "sRNA ncRNA". Lineage: Eukaryota; Viridiplantae; Streptophyta; Magnoliopsida; Rosales; Rosaceae. The record is from RNAcentral.